ACAAUGGAGAGUUUGAUCCUGGCUCAGGAUGAACGCUAGCUACAGGCUUAACACAUGCAAGUCGAGGGGAAACGACAGAGGAAGCUUGCUUCCUUUGGGCGUCGACCGGCGCACGGGUGAGUAACGCGUAUCCAACCUUCCCGCAAGUAAGGGAUAACCCGUAGAAAUGCGGCCUAAUACCUUAUGUUUUCCUUAGAGGGCAUCUGAUGAGGAACAAAGAUCCGUCGCUUGCGGAUGGGGAUGCGUCUGAUUAGUUAGUCGGCGGGGUAACGGCCCACCGAGACGACGAUCAGUAGGGGUUCUGAGAGGAAAGUCCCCCACAUUGGAACUGAGACACGGUCCAAACUCCUACGGGAGGCAGCAGUGAGGAAUAUUGGUCAAUGGGCGGAAGCCUGAACCAGCCAAGUAGCGUGCAGGACGACGGCCCUAUGGGUUGUAAACUGCUUUUAUGCGGGGAUAAAGUGGGCCACGCGUGGCCUUUUGCAGGUACCGCAUGAAUAAGGACCGGCUAAUUCCGUGCCAGCAGCCGCGGUAAUACGGAAGGUCCGGGCGUUAUCCGGAUUUAUUGGGUUUAAAGGGAGCGCAGGCCGCCGGGCAAGCGUGUUGUGAAAUGCAGUCGCUCAACGUCUGCACUGCAGCGCGAACUGCCCAGCUUGAGUGCGCGCAACGUUGGCGGAAUUCGCCGUGUAGCGGUGAAAUGCUUAGAUAUGGCGAAGAACUCCGAUUGCGAAGGCAGCUGACGGGUGCGUAACUGACGCUCAUGCUCGAAAGUGCGGGUAUCGAACAGGAUUAGAUACCCUGGUAGUCCGCACGGUAAACGAUGGAUGCCCGCUAUUCGGCCCAUGGGGUUGAGUGGCCAAGCGAAAGCGUUAAGCAUCCCACCUGGGGAGUACGCCGGCAACGGUGAAACUCAAAGGAAUUGACGGGGGCCCGCACAAGCGGAGGAACAUGUGGUUUAAUUCGAUGAUACGCGAGGAACCUUACCCGGGCUUGAAUUGCAGGAGAACGAUCCAGAGAUGGUGAGGCCCUUCGGGGCUCCUGUGAAGGUGCUGCAUGGUUGUCGUCAGCUCGUGCCGUGAGGUGUCGGCUCAAGUGCCAUAACGAGCGCAACCCCUGUCCAUAGUUGCCAUCAGGUCGUGCUGGGCACUCUGUGGAGACUGCCGCCGUAAGGUGUGAGGAAGGUGGGGAUGACGUCAAAUCAGCACGGCCCUUACGUCCGGGGCUACACACGUGUUACAAUGGGGCAUACAGCGAGUUGGAUGUGCGCAAGUACGUCCGGAUCAAGAAAGUGCCUCUCAGUUCGGACUGGGGUCUGCAACCCGACCCCACGAAGCUGGAUUCGCUAGUAAUCGCGCAUCAGCCAUGGCGCGGUGAAUACGUUCCCGGGCCUUGUACACACCGCCCGUCAAGCCAUGAAAGCCGGGGGCGCCUGAAGUCCGUGACCGCGAGGGUCGGCCUAGGGUGAAACCGGUGAUUGGGGCUAAGUCGUAACAAGGUAGCCGUACCGGAAGGUGCGGCUGGAACACCUCCUUU
This 1533-nucleotide ribosomal RNA is filed under the name Hallella sp. RNAcentral describes it as "bacterial SSU rRNA". It matches the Rfam family "Bacterial small subunit ribosomal RNA". The record is from RNAcentral. Lineage: Bacteria; Pseudomonadati; Bacteroidota; Bacteroidia; Bacteroidales; Prevotellaceae.